GGGCAAAAUUGGCCUCAAUUUCGAGAAUUUUUCAAAUUCUACUUAUUCGUAUGUGUAUGGCUUUCUUUUUCCGUUACACAUAUUCAUUUUAUGAAAAAAAUGUUUUUUUUGUAGUUAUGACGUCAUAAUGCCGUGUUUUGACAACACUUCACGUGCAUAUUUGUUGGCUUUUCACAAUUUUUUACUCAUUUUCACUAACUUUUUUUACGAAAAAAGUACCAGCGCAUUCUUGCCCCAACGAAAUAUUUUGUCAGAGCAAUAAUACCAACAAAAAGCAUCUUAUGUUGAAAUAUUUCAGUGGGGCAAAGCUGCGCUCAUACUGAAUUUUAAUUAAAAACUUGCUCAAAACCGGCAUCAAAGUUCCAAAAUUUUUCGUCCGUUUUUCAUAUAUACCGUUAUCGGACUAAGGUUGACCGGG
Molecule: long non-coding RNA, 418 nt
Filed under: Mytilus galloprovincialis (Mediterranean mussel)
Lineage: Eukaryota; Metazoa; Mollusca; Bivalvia; Mytilida; Mytilidae
Source: RNAcentral